Molecule: ribosomal RNA, 510 nt
Filed under: uncultured bacterium
Lineage: Bacteria
Description: partial 16S ribosomal RNA
Rfam family: Bacterial small subunit ribosomal RNA
Source: RNAcentral
GACGAACGCUGGCGGCGUGCUUAACACAUGCAAGUCGAACGAAGAGCGAUGGAAGCUUGCUUCUAUCAAUCUUAGUGGCGAACGGGUGAGUAACGCGUAAUCAACCUGCCCUUCAGAGGGGGACAACAGUUGGAAACGACUGCUAAUACCGCAUACGAUCUAAUCUCGGCAUCGAGGAUAGAUGAAAGGUGGCCUCUACAUGUAAGCUAUCACUGAAGGAGGGGAUUGCGUCUGAUUAGCUAGUUGGAGGGGUAACGGCCCGCCAAGGCGAUGAUCAGUAGCCGGUCUGAGAGGAUGAACGGCCACAUUGGGACUGAGACACGGCCCAGACUCCUACGGGAGGCAGCAGUGGGGAAUCUUCCGCAAUGGACGAAAGUCUGACGGAGCAACGCCGCGUGAGUGAUGACGGCCUUCGGGUUGUAAAGCUCUGUUAAUCGGGACGAAAGGCCUUCUUGCGAAUAGUGAGAAGGAUUGACGGUACCGGAAGAGAAAGCCACGGCUAACUACGUG